AUAAAUAUUUGGCAAACCUUCUGAAAGGAAGAGACGCAAAGCCAUGGAUCUAAGGAUUUAAUAGUCUAUGACAGCCAGGUUGCAAUA
RNAcentral lists this non-coding RNA (87 nucleotides) under Sporomusa sphaeroides. RNAcentral describes it as "Sporomusa sp. c-di-GMP sequence". It matches the Rfam family "c-di-GMP-I riboswitch aptamer". From Rfam's summary of the family: GEMM was predicted in a large-scale screen for bacterial structured RNA regulatory elements. Genes associated with GEMM are involved in a diverse array of functions, including chemotaxis regulation, signal transduction, secretion and chitin. RNAcentral also lists the same sequence under 1 other name. Lineage: Bacteria; Bacillati; Bacillota; Negativicutes; Selenomonadales; Sporomusaceae. The record is from RNAcentral.